RNAcentral lists this transfer RNA (94 nucleotides) under Salimicrobium halophilum. RNAcentral's name for it is "tRNA_Ser_GGA". It matches the Rfam family "tRNA". Rfam says of the family: Transfer RNA (tRNA) molecules are approximately 80 nucleotides in length. Their secondary structure includes four short double-helical elements and three loops (D, anti-codon, and T loops). The record is from RNAcentral. RNAcentral also lists the same sequence under 1 other name. Lineage: Bacteria; Bacillati; Bacillota; Bacilli; Caryophanales; Bacillaceae.
GGAGAGAUGUCCGAGUCUGGCUUAAGGAGCACGAUUGGAACUCGUGUAGGCCGCUAUCGCGGUCUCGAGGGUUCGAAUCCCUCUCUCUCCGCCA